UAUAUAUAUAUAUGUAUCAUUAGUGUGAAUAAAGUAUUCGUUUUUAUUCCCUCAAGUCUGUGAUUACAUGGUAGCAGAGCAGGGAAUAAACCCUAGAAAUUAAAAUUGGGGAUUUGGGAAAUUGCUCUUGGUUUAGCAAUAGGGUGUGCUAGUUUCGGGUCAUCUCUUUAGAGGUUUAGUCUUUAGUCACUGCUUGCACCAAGAGGAGCGCCGCCCAUCGAUCAUCUGAUCUGGAAAGUCCGUCGCUCGAACCCUAGCACAUGAGUCUCACGCGCCCAAACAAGUUUCUGCACAUUUGUUCACGCGUCGGCGCGUGGUUCACUGAACUUUUGUCCGGUCAACUUCGCCAAGCUUGCCUCAUCCUCUACGGUCCAUACUUGUGGUUGGUUUUGUGAAAAUACAAAUGGCUGAAGGGGUUUCUUUGAUACAGUUCGGAACCACAGCCGAACCAUACCCCCCACCCAGCCCCACCCCUGACGAACCAGCCUGGGAAAGGGAACCAGUAAAGGGAAUUGGCUCAGGUCUCAGUCCCCCAUGCCACAGGACCACAACCAGCCCUAUUGAAUAUGGUUAUUUACCUAUGUCUUCUUGAUAAUUCGUAAUGUCAUGAGAUCAAGGUUCAAUCAAACCCAGGUCAUUUGAAUAUAAUCAAGAACAGAAAUUUACAUAUAGUAUAGUUCCCUUCCAGAGGAAUUGUUGUGAGGAAAUGCAGGAAGAGGAAUAGGUGAGCUCAAAAUAUUUCCUUUGUCCAAAAUUCUGGAUCCAUUUCUCCAUUUCUCUGUAUUGUUGAUUUGUUUUAAUCCACCAUUUUUAACCCCUUGUGUAAGUUUCACUGCU
Ricinus communis (castor bean) is the source of this 837-nucleotide long non-coding RNA. RefSeq lists it as uncharacterized. The record is from RefSeq and is a predicted model, not a curated record. The transcript is spliced from 2 exons. NCBI's taxonomy places the organism in Eukaryota, Viridiplantae, Streptophyta, Magnoliopsida, Malpighiales, Euphorbiaceae.